ACUGCACUUUUCUUCUCUACACACGUGUUUUUGUUUUAUUCUUAAAACUUGCUUUGGCAGUGGCUGCUUAAUUGCUCUGCUGCCAGAGGAUAAACUCAACCUAAAUUUUUUAUUUUAAACUAGUCAACUGAUUAUAUUUAUUAAUAGUCAAAACUUUCAACAACGGAUCUCUUGGUUCUCGCAUCGAUGAAGAACGCAGCGAAAUGCGAUAAGUAAUAUGAAUUGCAGAUAUUCGUGAAUCAUCGAAUCUUUGAACGCACAUUGCGCCCUCUGGUAUUCCGGAGGGCAUGCCUGUUUGAGCGUCAUUUCUCCCUCAAACCCCCGGGUUUGGUGAUGAGCAAUACGCCAGGUUUGCUUGAAAGUUAGGAGGAGUAUUUAUAACAAUGUAUUAGGUCUAACCACUCCAUUGUGCUUAAUAAAAAGCUCCAAUCUAUAUUUCAAACUUCGACCUCAAAUCAGGUAGGAUUACCCGCUGAACUUAAGCAUAUCAAA
This 492-nucleotide ribosomal RNA is filed under the name Lodderomyces sp. W8Y14. RNAcentral's name for it is "eukaryotic LSU rRNA". The stretch from base 152 to 305 matches the Rfam family "5.8S ribosomal RNA". The record is from RNAcentral. Lineage: Eukaryota; Fungi; Ascomycota; Pichiomycetes; Serinales; Debaryomycetaceae.